UACGUAGGUGGCAAGCGUUGUCCGGAUUUACUGGGCGUAAAGGGCGUGCAGGCGGUCUGUUAAGUGCAGGGUGAAAGCUCCCGGCUCAACUGGGAGAGGUCCUUGCAUACUGUCGGGCUAGAGUAGCGGAAGAGGCGAGUGGAAUUCCCGGUGUAGCGGUGAAAUGCGCAGAUAUCGGGAGGAACACCUAUGGCGAAGGCAGCUCGCUGGGACGUUACUGACGCUGAGACGCGAAAGCGUGGGGAGCAAACAGG
Molecule: ribosomal RNA, 254 nt
Filed under: uncultured bacterium
Lineage: Bacteria
Description: partial 16S ribosomal RNA
Rfam family: Bacterial small subunit ribosomal RNA
Source: RNAcentral